UAUUUAUUAUUAAAUACAAUUUGUGUAUUUAUUUAAUUUAUUAAAAUUAAAAUAUCAUUUAUUUUUGCUAGGCUAAAAAGAAUAAUAUUUAUACUCCCUCGUGUUUUCUUGUCCCGAAGCGUUACAACUUGAUUACACACAUUAAGUACACACUCGUCCUGCAUUCCAUUUAUGCACACCACUCAAUCCAUCCAAUCAGAUAAUUUAUCUGUACCUCACAUCUCCCUUGCACACACAAAUUACACAACACCUCAGAGCCUCUCCGAAUCUCCCUCUUCCUUGUUCUGUUUUUAUCUGUUUAGUUUAAUCAAAAUCCAUAUUUUCCGUUCUCUACGGACCCAAAAGAAGACUGAGAAUCCGUCAAAGGUGGACGUAAGCCAGGAGAUUGUAUACAUAAAACUCGACCCAAAAAGAGGGGGAGAAGAGGAAAUUCAACCAGUGGCGCCUGGUACCUGACCGGUUUUCUUGGUGGGUAUUUCAGGUUCAAGGGCUACCGUUGCAAGCUUUGCCGUCUCCUGGUCUGUUCAUCACUGCCAUAUUCAUGGACCUUAAACCUCCUCUGGUUUGAUUUCUCUUCGGGGUCUUCUUCUUCUUCUAUUCACUCUGUUCUUCAAAGAAGACCCUCGAGUUCGAGCUUGCAAUUCGACGGCUGCCCUGUCUUUACCUCUCGUCAAUCGGCAUUUCUGGCUUCGUUUUUAAGGUUCAGGAUCCAGGUCCCCUGUAAUUUUUUUUUCCGAUUUCCGAGAUUCAGAUUCUUUCGGGUUCCGCACAGUUUUCAUUUUCUCGAGAAUCUUUCUGGUUUCUCAAGAAUCGAGGAAGGGCAUAGUCAUAUUUGUGCGUUUUGUUUCUUGUCAUAAGCUGGGCGGAUUUAGAGAAACGAAUACGAUGAGCGCAGCGGUCCAUUUCAGCCCGCAGAUACCAGUCCUCCAGACGGCGACCUCGUCGCCAUCGCUGAACCGGAGGCAGCCGCUUUUGGGACGACGCAGCGGCCGAUUCAUGUCGGAGGGGGCAGGGGAGGUGCCGUCACCCAGAGGCUGUAACGGUGCCAGGUUCGGGAGGUUUGCGGAGGGACAACCGCGGAUGCGCUGCUGUAUGUUGCUGUUGCCCGUGCGGGCUGAUGAACCUNN
RNAcentral lists this long non-coding RNA (1127 nucleotides) under Carica papaya (papaya). Its description in RNAcentral is "long non-coding RNA (CPAP_LNC004272)". Lineage: Eukaryota; Viridiplantae; Streptophyta; Magnoliopsida; Brassicales; Caricaceae. The record is from RNAcentral.